AGAGUUUGAUUAUGGCUCAGAACGUACGCUGGCGGCACGCCUAACACAUGCAAGUCGAACGCAGUAGCAAUACUGAGUGGCAAACGGGUGAGUAUAAUGUGGGAAUCUGCCUUUUGGUUUGGAAUAACACGGGGAAACUUGUGCUAAUACCGAAUAAGCCCUUACGGGGAAAGUUUUAAUGCCGAAAGAUGAGCCCGCACUUGAUUAGCUAGUUGGUAAGGUAAAAGCUUACCAAGGCAACGAUCAAUAGCUGUUCUUAGAGGAAGACCAGCCACAUUGGGACUGAGACACGGCCCAGACUCCUACGGGAGGCAGCAGUGGGGAAUCUUGCACAAUGGGGGAAACCCUGAUGCAGCGAUGCCGCGUGAGUGAAGAAGGCCUUUGGGUUGUAAAACUCUUUCGUCGGGGAAGAAAAUGACUGUACCCGAAUAAGAAGGUCCGGCUAACUUCGUGCCAGCCGCCGCGGUAA
Molecule: ribosomal RNA, 469 nt
Filed under: uncultured bacterium
Lineage: Bacteria
Description: bacterial SSU rRNA
Rfam family: Bacterial small subunit ribosomal RNA
Source: RNAcentral